Long non-coding RNA from Oncorhynchus masou masou (cherry salmon), 1291 nucleotides. RefSeq lists it as uncharacterized. NCBI's taxonomy places the organism in Eukaryota, Metazoa, Chordata, Actinopteri, Salmoniformes, Salmonidae. The transcript is spliced from 2 exons. The record is from RefSeq and is a predicted model, not a curated record.
CCUAACUGCCACUAAUGAAAACAAAACAACCUCUCACUCUUUCUCGGUACGUGAUAAUAGUGAAAAUAUGGAUAGUGAAUGAUUUGAUACACAGUGAAUGAUUUGAGGGUUUUUGACUGCCUUCACCUUAACUGGACACACAUUGGACACUUAGCAGAGGAGGGACAGCAUCACCUCUACAUUCCUUACUAAACAUAACACUGAACCACUUGAAGACUCCCUUCAACAGUGGCCACCUCGUCACUAUGGAUCAAAUCAAAACGGACGCCUGCUUUUUUGGAGGGGGUGGUCACAGCUAGAGGGACAUACAGCCGCUUUGGAUCGGGUUGCGAGUCACCAGUCCUUGACUUGAUCGGAAGACAGCACCGGGCGCCAUUUUAUUUUUUCCCCAACUGAAACCUCAAACUGUGAAAAAGAAAAACCACUCAAGAAAGACAUCUCUUCAUAGACCAAGAAGUCUCAUCUGCUGCUACAAGUGACAUCAUAAUACCAAGGCUUCCUUGAAACUCCAUUCUAACACUUACUGAGGGGCGGGGCGGUAGGUAGCCUAGUGGUUAGAACGUUGGACUAGUAACCGAAAGGUUGCAAGAUUGAAUCCCUGAGCUGACAAGGUAAAAAUCUGUGGUUCUGCCCCUGAACAAGGCUGUUUCUAGGCCGUCAUUGAAAAUGAGAAUUUGUUCUUAAGUGACUUGCCGAGUUAAAUAAAAAGUCAAAUAAAACUGAGUGGGGGACCCAAAAAUUGACACCAAUACAAAGAGUCCACAAGGGAGCGCUACCCAACCAGACCCCUACUACAUUUUCAGGACUGGAAAGGUGAAUGAAGAAGAAGAAGAAUGAUUUACCAAGAAGGUGCCCCUAGAUGCUGAUCUUGGGUCAGUUUUGUAUUUUCCCCACUAAUGGAGCUUAUGAUUGGGGGAACGGAAGCUGAUCCUAGACCUGUGCCUAGAGGAAACUUCACCCCUGAACAACCAAGUACAUGGCAUGUUACACCAUACAUUGGAGAUGAUGUGGAGUUUGAGGUUAUGUUGGUGCAGUGGGCGGAGUCUCGGUCCACAGAUGAUUAACCUCCACUUCCUGAUUCUCCGAUCACUUGGCUGGACCUGGCCUUGGUCCUACCUUGCACAAAUAUUUGUGUAGAUAGACUUGAGACAGUCCCAACGUACCACAUCAAGUUCAGCACCUUAAAACACAAAUGAACACAGACUUACACACACACAAACUGAGGGAUGGAAACACACACACACACACACACACACACACACACACACACACACACACACACACACACACA